Molecule: ribosomal RNA, 444 nt
Filed under: uncultured bacterium
Lineage: Bacteria
Description: bacterial SSU rRNA
Rfam family: Bacterial small subunit ribosomal RNA
Source: RNAcentral
AUUGAACGCUGGCGGCAUGCCUUACACAUGCAAGUCGAACGGCAGCACGGGAGCAAUCCUGGUGGCGAGUGGCGAACGGGUGAGUAAUAUAUCGGAACGUGCCCGGUCGUGGGGGAUAACGUAGCGAAAGCUACGCUAAUACCGCAUACGAUCUGCGGAUGAAAGCGGGGGAUCGCAAGACCUCGCGCGAUUGGAGCGGCCGAUAUCAGAUUAGGUAGUUGGUGAGGUAAAGGCUCACCAAGCCGACGAUCUGUAGCUGGUCUGAGAGGACGACCAGCCACACUGGGACUGAGACACGGCCCAGACUCCUACGGGAGGCAGCAGUGGGGAAUUUUGGACAAUGGGCGCAAGCCUGAUCCAGCAAUGCCGCGUGCAGGAUGAAGGCCUUCGGUUGGUAAACUGGCUUUGUUACGGAACGAAACGGUGAGCGUCUAAUACAGUUUG